Molecule: ribosomal RNA, 253 nt
Filed under: uncultured bacterium
Lineage: Bacteria
Description: partial 16S ribosomal RNA
Rfam family: Bacterial small subunit ribosomal RNA
Source: RNAcentral
GACGAACUGUCCUAACGUUGUUCGGAAUUACUGGGCGUAAAGCGUGCGCAGGCGGUGAUGUAAGACAGAUGUGAAAUCCCCGGGCUCAACCUGGGAACUGCAUUUGUGACUGCAUCGCUGGAGUGCGGCAGAGGGGGAUGGAAUUCCGCGUGUAGCAGUGAAAUGCGUAGAUAUGCGGAGGAACACCGAUGGCGAAGGCAAUCCCCUGGGCCUGCACUGACGCUCAUGCACGAAAGCGUGGGGAGCAAACAGG